UUGCAUAUUUUUGAUAUCACCAAACACUAAGAGGCUUAGGAGUAAUCCUAAAACUUAAAUUUAAUAGUACAUCUUGCUAUUGAAUUAUAAUUGCAUGUUAUCCAGCUGUAUGUACAAAUGGCAUGAAUAGCAGUUAACAUAAUAUCAUUUUUGUUUACUGAUUUUUCUAUCUCUCUGCUAUUUUGUAAUUUUUCUGCCAUCAGUACUCGGUGCAAUUUGUUAAAGGACAAUUUUGGAAUUAAGUUUACUUGACUUGUGUUCCCUUGUGCUCUAAUGUUAGGAAAGCUGAAUUAAUAAAUAUUUUCUUUUCUCAGGGAGAAGAGGAAAGAAAGCAAAGAGAGGAUUAGAGAAAAAGAAAAGAUUAGAGAGAGAGACAGAGAUAAAGAAAAAGAGAAAGAUAGAGAUCGAGAAAAGGAUAGGGGCAGGGAAAAAGACAGAGGCAGAGAAAAAGAGAGAGGGAGAGAGAGGGAGAAGGAGAAGACCAAGGAUAGAGACAAGGACCGAAUGAAAGAUAGGGAGAAGGAGCGAGAAAAAGACAAAGAGAAGGAUAAAGAAAAAGAGAAGGAGAAAGCAGCAGAUAUGGAAAAAGAAAAAAGAGAAGAUUUGGACAAAGAAGGAGAAAAAGAAAAGGAGAGAGAGACAGAAGGAGACAAAGAGAAGGAUGACAAAGAACACGUCAAAGAAAAGGAGGAAGACAAAGAGAAAGUAAAGGAGGCAGAAAAGGACCAUGAAAGAGAUAAAGAAGGAGAGAAAGCAAAAGACAAAGAAAGAGACAGAGACCGAGAAAGAGAUGAAAAAAAGAAAAAGGAGAAGAGAUCUAAAACACCUCCUAGAAGCUAUAGUUCCUCAAGAAGAUCACGUAGUUCUAGCAGAGAUCGAAGGAAAAGGAAGAGCCGAAGUCCUUCAAAGUCUCCCAGAUCAUCCAAAAUCACAAAAAGGAAAUCAUCUCGGUCUCCAUCUCCAAGGAGAAGCAAGAAAGACAAAAAAACAGAGAAGGAGAGAGACGUAAGUAAUGAUCGAAGAAGAGAGAGGGAGAGGUCUACCUCAAAGCGAAAGAGUAGUAAAGACAAAGAAGUCAAAGAGAAAUCAGAUAAAACCCCAGUUGUGAAGGAUAAAGAUCUCAGUAAAGAAAAUCAAAAUUCUGAAAUCAAUAAAGCAACAGAAGGAGAGGAGACAACAAUUGCAGCAGAAAUUGAACAACAACAGAAUGGGAACUGCCAGCCAAAUGAAGAAACAAUCUCAGUUAAAACUGAAGAUGUGUAGAAUGUUGAAUGGGACCUUUGACACAUUUUGCAAAAGAAAUACAAAACCUUUUGUCUCAUCUCCAAAAUACAUCCAAAAAGGAUACAACGUUAUUAAGCAAUCAACUGGACAUACCAAAUUGUGCUUGCAGCUAUUCCAGUCUUGGUUGUUUGGUCACCUUGAGGACUGACAAGAAGCAGGACUACCAAUAGGAUAUGCUGUGACAAAAGCACUGGUCAAAUCUUCCAAAUAAAUGUAUUUCAUUGUUAAUAAAAUACUAGGAGAUUGCAAUGUACUAUCCUGAAAAGCUACCAAGGGAUGCAUUUGGAAGUUGUUAAAAUAUUUGUAGAUUGAUAAUUUUUGUUUUUCUUAUGGUUUAAAAACUAAACUCCAUGUGAUAUGUUUUGAUGAUGUGCUUGAAAAUGGUGCAGAAAUAAACAUAUUUCCUUUGAUGUUGUAAAUUACAAGUGAUGAAAAGUUUUAACCUAACACAGUUUUACAGUUGUGUUAUGCCCACAAAGGCAAGUGAAGAUUCUUUCCUCUGUUAUUUGUGACUUUCUUUUUAUAUUUUUAAAAACAUAAUUUACAACGUAAGUCUAAAAUUCUUCUCUUAACUAUAGCUGAUCAAUGCAUGCUAAUGUUCGGAUUCUGAAAAGAAGAUCCAUGUUUAUACUAGAGUUCCAUUCUUCCAAUUAUAAGCACAUCUAUAUAGUAAUUGCAAACAACUGACUUUGUCUUGAGUUGUAUUACAGGGUGCCUAGUCACUUGCAAAUAGAACAGAAACAGAAAGAUGGUUUCUUUUUACUUUUUAAUGGGGAUGUAGAGCACAAGCUGAUGCUUUAGUGCCUUUGACACAGAGAAUAGUGAUUUCUAGUAACAUAGAGGGUUUUUUUAAUUAUCUGUUUAUGAGUUGCUCUCUUUGAUGAUUCUAUCACACCAGUAGGCAAGCAUUUGAAAGAUGUCAGUCACAUUAUCCAUUAGUUAUUUGAAAUAAUUUGAAGAUCUCUUGAUUUCAAGUUAAAAAAAAAACCUAGUUAAUCUAAUUGCUGUUUAGGGACCAUAAAAAGUUGGGCAUGAUCCAGCAAAUAAUCCAGUUAAUCUAUACAUUUUUCAGAUCAUAUACUGAACCAGGGAAUUGAAUAGUGCUAAAUAAAAAUAAUGUACCUCUCGGCAGGACUGGAACAUAGAAAGCUCCCUUUAAAAGCAUGCAUCUUAUGGGCUAAAUGUAAGAGUUAUUUCUAUACAUUCUAUCACAAGUAAAGAAAUAAUUAAGAUUUCUGUUCUGUUUGAUAAAAAUCUGAAAGAAAAAAGCACAUGAGCACAACUAAUUCUGGCCUCAUUGCAGCCUUUUAAAAUUUAAAGCAAAAGGUUGUGAAAUCAAGAACUAUUUGAAUACAAUGUAAUACAAUCAUAUGGCCUUACAGGAUUAAAAAGAGGUAUGAAAAGCCAAAUAGUCAUAGCUUUCAGUUUGUGUUCUCAAUAUUUCUGUUUACGGACAGAUAGGUGAGUAUGAUAAAAUGAAAGCUAUAAGAUUAGAGCCCAUAGAUUGUGACACUGCUUUAGUAGCUCAUUGUUGGGUGAGGUAUUUGUUCGUUUUGUUACAGUCUAAAGUUUUUCUUCAAAAAACCUUUAGUGAAUGCUUUACCAUGUAAAGUAUGGACAGUAAUUUUGUGAUGUUUAUGCCACGUGAAGUUGGCUCGCAAACAGCUUAUUCUGAUAAAGCAAUGACAAACCUCAUGCUUCUUGAAGUACUGAAAGAUUGUGUCUUGGAACAGCAGCUGUCAUAUUUAUGAUGUAUAAGUAGCAUAGAGCAAAGAUUGUAUACUUGCUAUCUUUGGUACCAUCACUAAUAAAUUUUAGUAUUUUAGAGGGAAGUAGUUCUGAUCUGCUUUUUAAAAUAAUGCCUGGAAGUUGAUCAUUUUCUACAAUAGCUACAUUUUGUUAUGUGGAUACUUUGGUUUGCAUUGGUACAUAGCAAAGUAAAAAAGAUGGAGCGCAGAGGAGAUACAUAUUAAAAGUUUACAACUUUUCAGUAUCAAGUAAUUGUCAGUACUUUAUGUUCCUAAAAUGUUCCAAGUUUUUUUUUCAUAUAUUGCCAAAGAUGGUAUUACUUUAAUUUACAAGCAGAGGCUGAAAUGGUUACAAUUGGCCUAGUGAGUCUUUGAUUGGGAUCAGUUUAAAAUCAGUUAAUGUAGUAGCUGAAUAGGUUAAGGUUGUGUGAGUCUACAAUAAAAUCCUGUUGAAAUUGCAUCAGAUCAUUGAGACACUUUCUGUUAUGUUUCUGUGUAGUUCCACAGGAAUACUUAAGCAUUUCCUUAUACAAAAUAUUUCACCAAAUUGACACUGUAGCCAGUGUUUUUCUUCUGCUACAUUUUUUCCUUGGUGGCUCAGAUUCCUCCUGUAGAUUUGUGGAAACAGGAAGAUGUAGAGCAAAGAAGAGGAAGAGAAAAACUGCACAGACUACCUUACAGAAUUCUG
Long non-coding RNA from Pseudonaja textilis, 3720 nucleotides. The record is from Ensembl. NCBI's taxonomy places the organism in Eukaryota, Metazoa, Chordata, Lepidosauria, Squamata, Elapidae.